GGAGUUAGCCGGUGCUUCUUCUGUGAGUGAUGUCCUUCCUGCCGGUUAUUGACCCGCAGGCCUUCUUCCUCACUGAAAGUGCUUUACAACCCGAAGGCCUUCUUCACACACGCGGCAUGGCUGGAUCAGGGUUGCCCCCAUUGUCCAAUAUUCCCCACUGCUUCCUCCCGUAGGAGUCUGGGCCGUGUCUCAGUCCCAGUGUGGCUGAUCAUCCUCUCAGACCAGCUACGGAUCGUCGCCUUGGUGAGCCGUUACCUCACCAACCAGCUAAUCCGACAUAGGCUCAUCCGAUAGCGCGAGGCCCGAAGGUCCCCCGCUUUCCCCCGUAGGGCGUAUGCGGUAUUAGCCUGGGUUUCCCCAGGUUAUCCCCCACUACCGGGGCAGAUUCCUAUGCAUUACUCACCCGUCCGCCGCUCGCCACCAGGGAGCAAGCUCCCCGUGCUGCCGCUCGACUUGCNUGUGUAGCUCGCCGCCACGCGUCAUCUGAGCAUGAUACAACUACUCGA
This 506-nucleotide ribosomal RNA is filed under the name uncultured bacterium. Its description in RNAcentral is "partial 16S ribosomal RNA". The record is from RNAcentral.